Molecule: ribosomal RNA, 440 nt
Filed under: uncultured bacterium
Lineage: Bacteria
Description: partial 16S ribosomal RNA
Rfam family: Bacterial small subunit ribosomal RNA
Source: RNAcentral
CCUACGGGUGGCAGCAGUGGGGGAUAUUGCACAAUGGGGGAAACCCUGAUGCAGCGAAGCCGCGUGUGGGAUGACGGUCCUCUGGAUUGUAAACCACUGUCCCCAGGGACGAAAAUGACGGUACCUGGGGAGGAAGCUCCGGCUAACUACGUGCCAGCAGCCGCGGUAAUACGUAGGGAGCGAGCGUUGUCCGGAAUUACUGGGUGUAAAGGGAGCGUAGGCGGGGAUGCAAGUUGGGUGUCAAAACUACCGGCUCAACUGGUAGUCGCAGUCGAAACUGCAGCUCUUGAGUGAAGCAGAGGCAGGCGGAAUUCGUGGUGUAGCGGUGAAAUGCAUAGAUAUUAGGAGGAACACCGGUGGCGAAGGCGGCAUGCUGGGCUUUUACUGACGCUGAGGCUCGAAAGUGUGGGGAUCGAACAGGAUUAGAUACCCGAGUAGUC